UGUGCUACAGAGGAGGCUUUUGUUCUUAAUUGUAGAAGAAUAUAGUCCUAAAUAAACUGUCUGGAGAAUGUCUUCUAGCAUUAAGAAAUGGUGAAAUUUAUUUUGAAAAGUUUUUCAAGGGUGUAAUAAUCGCAAAAACAGCUUUCAGUAAUCUCACUAAGAUUGUUUCCAUGAAUGCUGAGAGCUGUGGACACUUGUGAACAUUCACGUAAUAACGUAAUACAAUGUCAUAAACAUGUGUCAGAGUCAGGGAAGGGACAGCAAAUUUGCAGCAGCCUAGAAAAAGAAAUAUCUGAAUAAAGAUAAAUGGCACUUACUUGUCAAAACAGAAUGAGGUUUAUAAAGAUGAGUAAUGGAGAUCAGCAUUAUCUCCAGGAGGUUCUCUGAUUUGCUUCAACCCUAUUACAUACACUCAAAUUUUGUGUGCUGUUCAGUUACAGGUAAGACUAAAAAGCCUAAUGUUCAAUUUUGGAGAUGCUGCCCACAAGAACAUUGGGUUGUGUUCCCACAUGCACAUAUGAGGAGGAGGAAAUGAAACAUCAAAAUGAAAAGAAAAUGGAAUUUCACACCAAUGGCUCUCAAGAGAAAACUGAAGAUUUAUUCAAAUAUUUAUCCUCAUUUUGUGAACUACUGACUCUCCUCAUCCAAACAUGCAAAUGGGAUUAAGCAUAGCUUUGGAUCUUAAACAAACAAACAGUCCAAAGUUCUUACUAUGGAAAUAAUCAUAUUCUUCACAUUUGACUUGAAGCUGAAUUAUUACCAGAAAAAAAUAGAUUGUGGCAUUACAGUGUGUUAGUAAAUAGUAGAUAGACACAGGAGGCUACAAAAAUAAAGUAAGAUUUUCUCCACAUAAUGUCCUGUAAAACAUGUACACUUCACCUUCAUAUGUGAUAAAAGACACAUUUGAAGUCAGAGAAAUUAGGAAAUCAGAGAAAGGAAUCGAUAGCAUGACAUUUAGAAAAGAAGUUUCUUCCUUGCUACCUAAUUCCAAAAGGAGAAAGAAAAUACCAUGAAGAACUUGUCCAUUCUAGAGGUGUUUUUGUUGCUCUUUAUUUCCUUUGUAAAACGAACAUCUUAAUCUGUUCACAGUUUGGCACAUUAGAUUCAUUUCAAUGACAAUUCUUCCAGAUAUCCAAGUAACAAAACUGAAGGAGAGAUGCCACAUCUCAUACUUCUUUCUAUCCUUGCCUAUUAACACACACCUGUGCUUAGAAAGGAAAUAUUAUUGGACCUCAACUAAGAACUUUCUUUUUUUUUUUCCUUAUCACACACUUGUUUAUCACAGUGUAAUAGUCACAGUCUUCAUGAGGUUUGGGCAUGAUUCUGAUCCUUGACAGCUGGAGACAUGCAACAUUUUUGGGGUUCUUUCGUCACUCAGAUUUGAUAAUAAAAAAAUGAAAAAUGUGUCUUCACAAUUUCUUUUCAAAGACAUUCCAAACAACUGGAAGUGGCUACUCAGGAUACAGGUAUAAGGACAGCUUUGCCAUUUGAAUAUCAAUAUUUUUAUUUUGUGUUUUCAUGUACAUCUGUCUGCUCGCAAUCUAAAUGCUGCAGUGAACACAGGAUGUACCGUGAACUAGAACUUCCAUUUGCUAGUAGAUUUUUUUUCAUAAAUGUUCUUUGUAGUCUAUAUGAAUAUGGGCAUUUUAAUUAUUGAUCAGAAGCAUUAUUUCUUAUUUGCAUCUGUGUUGUGGAAGAGUUCUUAAAAACUGAGCAGAAAUUCACGCACAUUUAGAUUAUUCUCUUUUCUGGCUGUUCAUUAGUUAAACGCUUAUGCAACACCCUUCCUUACAAACUGCACUACAUCUCUCCCAUUACUGCUCUGACAAAUCUUUCUGGGCCUGAUCUGCAGGCCUAUGAAGUCAAUAGGAGCCCAUCCAACAGCCCCAGCAGGCUUUGGGUCCAGUCUCUCUCACUUCCAACUUCUUAGUAAGAAAAAAUAUGCACAACACCAGAAGGUGUAAAAUAUGAAUCAGGUAAUAUUCUGUAAUGCAUGUGGGUAAAACAAUGGACUUUGGUCCACCUUUGUGACAAACAUGUCAAGAAAUCAGUGUGAUACCUGUUCACUGCAAAGUAGGAAUGAAAAUCCAGCAAAUAUUUUUGACAGAAGCUAAAUUUCCUUGGUUAAAAGGCUGUCUUUCUGAAAUGAAGUUUCUUUGAUACAUCUCUCUCACUUUGUUUUUUGCCCAGUCCCUUUACCUUUGAAAUAUAUUCUGCGCUGGCCAAACCCUCUUCCUCUGAAGUCAAUGGGAGUUUUACCAUUGAUUUCAAUGGGACAAUGAUCAUACACAGGUUGCAAAACACAGUGAGAAAAAAUAUCAUUGUCAAAGUUGAAAGUAUGAGAAACAUUCACACGAUUUGACAAUUCCACCGUAAAACCUCCAGCAUCAACCAGCUUUUCCGUGUGUUUCCCGCAACUCACGCCCGGCAGCGCAGGAUAACACAAAGCCCCGCGCCCCGGUGCCUUCAACACUCGGCAUCGGAGUUGAGCCCCAGUCUGCGAGGAGUUAGCACAGCCACGCGCUAAUCCGACAGCAAACAUUUUGCAAGCAUCAACCCUUCCCUAAGGGACGAGCAUUCUGCCGCCGGAGCCCAGGGAAGCGCAUGGGAGGGCGCAGCCAGGACGGGCAGCGGGCACCUGGCCGCUCCACUACUCAGGGUUUCCCGUAGAUUUUAAUAGAAGCUUGUGCUAGGAAACAGGUCAAGAAGAAGGACUAGCCAUCAAACCAUAUUUUUAACAUAGCUACUGCAGUUCCCCACAGAGAACAUUUUUGUCAUUGUUCCUCAGACAUGAACUUGUUGGAUCUGACUGUGCUUUCAUCUUUCUAGUGCUAUCCAGAAGUAACUCGAGUGGAAGUACACAAAAUACAGGGAUGCGAGAGUGGUAUAAGGGAGAUUUAAAAUGGACUUGUGAAAGAAUUUCUCCUGCCUUGCCAUAUGGAUAUUGAUUUCUCUCCCUCAGGCAGAAUAUAAUUGCCUGCUCUAAUUUAGCAUUGAUCUACCCACCCAAGUUUCUUAAAGUACUACACAGGCCUCAAUUAAAUUAUUCCUAAUACCACCUUUGUGAAGUAGGAUAGCUGUAAUUACUCACACUUAGAAAAUGGUGAGAGGUAAAAAGCGAUUUGUCCAAACCAUGCAGUGCAACAAGACACGAUUAAAGCAGGAGGCAAACAUACUAUGCCAUGUGCUGUACAUCAAAUUACCCUGAGUUUUUCUAAUAGCAAAAUAUUUGUUCAUCCAAUAUUUUGUGAUUCCAAUGAACCACACUUGGUUAGAUACUAAGUGUACCAGGACUUCUGUUGUUCUUAUCAAUACAUCUAUUUUCUCCUUCAUGAGACCUCUAGAGAUCAUUGAGUCCAGCCCCCUGCAAAGCGGGCCCCCUACAAAGGAAUAACACCUCUUGCUGCUGAAUUCAACAAAUGUGGUCUCGCCACUAUUUUUAAGUGUCAUUUUAUUUAUUAGUUCAAGAGAAACCAGCCAGACUGAUACUGAGGAGAAACAAGUACAAAGUAUUUUGUAUACACACCCAAUAGAUCAGAAAAAAUGCAGGUUUUAGCAACUGAAGGAGCCCAACGCUAAGGCAACACAAGUUAGGUAAUACUUUGAAUCAGAUAAAAAUGAUAAAGUAGUGCUGAGUAUUUGGGUGACAAACUGAACUUAGUCAGGUCUUCUAUGCAACAUGUGACUUGAAUUCAAUGAGAAGAAACAAAUAGCUGUAGAACAAGUGAAGGCAAUGACAGAGCCUUUAUUUGAGAAAUAGGCACUAGAGGAAAAGAUAUCAGAAAGGAAUUGACUCACCCCUCCCGGUAACAGUGUGGAGAGAGGGACGAGCUGAGAAAUGCGACCCUCCCCGGGUCCUGUCGCGCCGCUGGAGAGA
Molecule: long non-coding RNA, 3877 nt
Filed under: Gallus gallus (chicken)
Lineage: Eukaryota; Metazoa; Chordata; Aves; Galliformes; Phasianidae
Description: lncRNA (ENSGALG00010015560.1)
Source: RNAcentral